CCUACGGGCGGCAGCAGUGAGGAAUAUUGGUCAAUGGGCGUAAGCCUGAACCAGCCAAGUCGCGUGAGGGAUGAAGGUUCUAUGGAUCGUAAACCUCUUUUAUAAGGGAAUAAAGUGUGGGACGUGUCCUAUUUUGUAUGUACCUUAUGAAUAAGGCUCGGCUAACUCCGUGCCCGCAGCCGCGGUAAUCCGGAGGAUCCGAGCGUUAUCCGGAUUUAUUGGGUUUAAAGGGUGCGUAGGCGGCCUUUUAAGUCAGCGGUGAAAGUCUGUGGCUAAACCAUAGUAUUGCCGUUGAAACUGGGGGGCUUGAGUAUGUUAGAGGCAGGCGGAAUGCGUGGUGUAGCGGUGAAAUGCUUAGAUAUCACGCAGAACCCCGAUUGCGAAGGCAGCCUGCCAGGCCAUGACUGACGCUGAGGCACGAAAGCGUGGGGAUCAAACAGGAUUAGAUACCCGUGUAGUC
This 460-nucleotide ribosomal RNA is filed under the name uncultured bacterium. Its description in RNAcentral is "partial 16S ribosomal RNA". It matches the Rfam family "Bacterial small subunit ribosomal RNA", at positions 338 to 795 of the family's 1533-position model. The record is from RNAcentral.